GCGGCAGCGCCACCUGGCGGGCGGCGCGGCGGCGGCCGGGGGCGCCCCCUAGUGGGCAGGGAGGGGAGCGCGCCCCCGGGCAGCGCUGCGGGAGCCGGCCGUGCCCGCCCCGCACCGGGAGGCAUCGCCCGCACGGGCCGUGCGAGGAGAAAAGCCGCUGCCAGCGGGGAGCGGCAACUGCAGGGGGCGAGGCUGAGCCCCGGAGCCGCCGCCCGCUUGCCCGUGGCAGCGCUCGGCCCGUCCGUGCUGCCCUCAGAGGCGCGGCGGCUGCAGGGCAGGGGCCGAGGGGCCGGCGAGCUGGCACUGCCGCCGCCGUGCCCCGAGAGCCUCCCCCAUGGUGUAGAAACUCCCAGCCGGGUCUGGCUUCGCCCCUCCAAGAAGUGACUUUUCCAUACGCCUCAGGUUCUGCGUAUGCCAGAGCACUUCAGGGGAAAGACCUGCCGCAUGCCUUGGCUGGCGUGCGGACGUGCUGCUGAUGCCUUGGCUGCGCAGCUAAGCAGAGGUGUACAAGGCUAAAAAAGUAAUCUGAAGCGGAUCUUUCAUUUCUGGGCUCCUCAGUGCGAGAGAGACACACAGCUCCUGGAGCGGAUCCAGAGGAGAGCUGCAAGGGACUGGAGCAUCUCUCUUCAGUGGAGGAUUGCAAAGUUUAUCAAAGGAGUGGAGCACCUCUCUUGGCAGGAAAGGCUGAGGGAACUGGUCAUGUUCAGCCUCGAGAAGAGACAACUGAGAGGGACUGCAUCCAUGUCUAUGAGUAUCUCAAGGGAGGGUCAGAGGAUGGACCAGGCUGUGCUCCAUGAUGCCAAGCAAUUGGACAAGAGGGAAGGGGCAGAAACUGAUGCACAGGAAGUUCCACCUGAAUAUGAGGGACUUAUUUCCUAAAAUUUUCACUGUACAAGAGACAAAAGUGAUGGCCCACUAUAAAGCUGAGGAUAAGAUAACAGCCAGUAUAAUUUUUAAUAGCUGCUGAUGAACUUAUUUAUGUGUACUAAUUUGUCAGACAGUGCGAAGUUACCACUAGGCUGUGGGUUGCAGCAUUUCAAUUAUAAGGAGCUUGUCAAAGUGACAUAAGGACACUGAUCAGAGUGACAAAUAAAUCUCCUUGUAUAAAUUUUUGGAAGUGAGAACGAUGAGUAAAGAAGUACAUUUUUCUUUUCAUUGUCUUAAGUUUCUUAAAUGCCUGCACUUAAUCAGAUGGAAUCUCCCUCUGGAGCUCUUCAAAGACAUCAGUGUCUUUAACUCAACUGUGUAAGAAAUUUAUGUGCUUCAUUUGACAGCCUGCUUUCUCUAUAGCAUGGAAACUGGAUAUGUUCCCUAACACCCAGAUCCAGAUAAUAUUCUGCUGAUGUCUUAACUCUGUGUGUUAAGGCAAGAUGUGCUGCCCACUCUCACUCCUUCUGGUCUUCCUCCUACAUCCCAGUUUCUCUGGAAGAAAAUUAUAAGAGCUGCAAACCUACUCCAGCAGCCUCCAUGGAUGAUCAGGAGCCAUAGAUAUUUAAAUAUCUGAGUGUCAGAGAAUUAAUCACCUGAACUACAGAGAUCAGAUUUCACUCCUCCCUGCCUAGUAAAACUGGCAAAAGCUUUUAACCUGAAGAAGCAAAGAGUCUUACACAUAACAUUCUGAACAAGCCAUUGGCUGUACCGGGGACAUGUCUUGCAAGUCACCUCUCUGUGUCUCUGUUUGUGGUUUUUUUUGCCAUCUUUUAUUUGGUAAACUGAAGUGUGUAUUUCUGCUACCUGCCUAUGCUAAAAGCUACAGCAUCAGGUGUGUUACUAUAAUAAUCUGCUGUGGUUUAUGCUUUUUCUUUUUUCUCUAAAUGACAAGAAUCGCCAUGAAAAAUAUAGAAACUAAGAAGCUGAAGGAGUUGGGCAGAAUUUAAAUGCUGAAUUAAGAUAAUCACAUGAUGCACAAGAACAGUCAUCCCUUAUUAAUGUAGUGUGUAGUUUUAUAUUUUUAAUUAUUAAUGUUAGUUAUGUACCUAAAGUGUUCAGAAUUUGAGCUACAUUUCAGAAGAAAUACAUAAAUAUUCAGAAGAAAUACAUAAAUACCAUGUGAGUGAUCAAAAUAACUUUCAGAACUUUAACUAUUCAUGGUAUUUGUACUUAUUGAUGAUAUCUGUAAACAGCUGAAGCCCUGUCUUGCUAGAAUUAAAAAAUAAAAAAGUCAA
Passer domesticus (house sparrow) is the source of this 2165-nucleotide long non-coding RNA. RefSeq lists it as uncharacterized. The transcript is spliced from 2 exons. The record is from RefSeq and is a predicted model, not a curated record. NCBI's taxonomy places the organism in Eukaryota, Metazoa, Chordata, Aves, Passeriformes, Passeridae.